RNAcentral lists this ribosomal RNA (1478 nucleotides) under Pelagibacterales bacterium SAG-MED27. RNAcentral describes it as "bacterial SSU rRNA". It matches the Rfam family "Bacterial small subunit ribosomal RNA". The record is from RNAcentral. Lineage: Bacteria; Pseudomonadati; Pseudomonadota; Alphaproteobacteria; Candidatus Pelagibacterales.
AACUUGAGAGUUUGAUCAUGGCUCAGAACGUACGCUGGCGGCACGCCUAACACAUGCAAGUCGAACGAAGUAGCAAUACUUAGUGGCAGACGGGUGAGUAACAUGUAGGUAUCUGCCCUUUGGCCUGGAAUAACACGAGGAAACUUGUGCUAAUACCGGAUAAGUCUUUACGGAGAAAGCUUUAUGCACCAUUGGAUGAGCCUGCACUUGAUUAGUUUGUUGGUGGGGUAAUGGCCUACCAAGACUGUGAUCAAUAGCUGAUUUGAGAGGAUGAUCAGCCACAUUGGGACUGAGACACGGCCCAAACUCCUACGGGAGGCAGCAGUGGGGAAUCUUGCACAAUGGAGGAAACUCUGAUGCAGCGAUGCCGCGUGAGUGAAGAAGGCCCUUGGGUUGUAAAGCUCUUUCGUCGGGGAAGAAAAUGACUGUACCCGAAUAAGAAGGUCCGGCUAACUUCGUGCCAGCAGCCGCGGUAAUACGAAGGGACCUAGCGUAGUUCGGAAUUACUGGGCUUAAAGAGUUCGUAGGUGGUUGAAAAAGUUAGUGGUGAAAUCCCAGAGCUUAACUCUGGAACUGCCAUUAAAACUUUUCAGCUAGAGUAUGAUAGAGGAAAGCAGAAUUUCUAGUGUAGAGGUGAAAUUCGUAGAUAUUAGAAAGAAUACCAAUUGCGAAGGCAGCUUUCUGGAUCAUUACUGACACUGAGGAACGAAAGCAUGGGUAGCGAAGAGGAUUAGAUACCCUCGUAGUCCAUGCCGUAAACGAUGUGUGUUAGACGUUGGAAAUUUAUUUUCAGUGUCGCAGGGAAACCGAUAAACACACCGCCUGGGGAGUACGACCGCAAGGUUAAAACUCAAAUGAAUUGACGGGGACCCGCACAAGUAGUGGAGCAUGUGGUUUAAUUCGAAGAUACGCGCAGAACCUUACCAACACUUGACAUGUUCGUCGCGACUCUAAGAGAUUAGAGUUUUCGGUUCGGCCGGACGAAACACAGGUGCUGCAUGGCUGUCGUCAGCUCGUGUCGUGAGAUGUUGGGUUAAGUCCCGCAACGAGCGCAACCCUCACUUUUAGUUGCCAUCAUUAAGUUGGGCACUCUGAAAGAACUGCCAGUGAUAAGCUGGAGGAAGGUGGGGAUGACGUCAAGUCCUCAUGGCCCUUACGUGUUGGGCUACACACGUGCUACAAUGGUAUCUACAACAGGAAGCAAGACUGCGAAGUUAAGCAAAUCCCUAAAAGAUACCUCAGUUCGGAUUGCACUCUGCAACUCGAGUGCAUGAAGCUGGAAUUACUAGUAAUCGUGGAUCAGCGUGCCACGGUGAAUGCGUUCCCGGGUCUUGUACACACCGCCCGUCACACCAUGGGAGUUGGUUCUACCUUAAGGCAAGGUUUCAAACCCUUGACCACGGUAUAGUCAGCGACUGGGGUGAAGUCGUAACAAGGUAGCCGUAGGGGAACCUGCGGCUGGAUUACCUCCUUUCUAA